AUUGAACGCUGGCGGCAGGCCUAACACAUGCAAGUCGAACGAGUGGCGGACGGGUGAGUAAUGUCUGGGAAACUGCCUGAUGGAGGGGGAUAACUACUGGAAACGGUAGCUAAUACCGCAUACCAUCAGAUGUGCCCAGAUUGCAUUAUCUUGUUGGUGGGGUAACGGCUCACCAAGGCGACGAUCCAUAGCUGGUCUGAGAGGAUGACCAGCCACACGGGGACUGAGACACGGUGCAGACUCCUACGGGAGGCAGCAGUGGGGAAUAUUGCACAAUGGGCGAAAGCCUGAUGCAGCCAUGCCGCGUGUAUGAAGAAGGCCUUCGGGUUGUAAAGUACUUUCAGCGGGGAGGCGGGAGACAAAGAAGAAGCACCGGCUAACUCCGUGCCAGCCGCCGCGGUAAGAG
RNAcentral lists this ribosomal RNA (406 nucleotides) under uncultured bacterium. RNAcentral's name for it is "partial 16S ribosomal RNA". It matches the Rfam family "Bacterial small subunit ribosomal RNA", at positions 30 to 526 of the family's 1533-position model. The record is from RNAcentral.